AUCACUUCUUGGCCUUUUGGCUAAGACCAAGUGUAGUACAUUUUCUAUAGAACAGAAGAUCUAACAAAUCUGGAAAGUUCAGCAUGUUUGUUUGUUUUCUUGCUUGCUUGUUGGCUUGCUUGCUUGUUUUGCAAUACUGGGGACUGAACCCAGGGGUGUUCCACCACUGAGCUUCAUCCCCAGCUUUUU
Heterocephalus glaber (naked mole-rat) is the source of this 189-nucleotide small nuclear RNA. Its record names the gene U2. It matches the Rfam family "U2 spliceosomal RNA". Rfam says of the family: U2 is a small nuclear RNA (snRNA) component of the spliceosome (involved in pre-mRNA splicing). Complementary binding between U2 snRNA (in an area lying towards the 5' end but 3' to hairpin I) and the branchpoint sequence (BPS) of the intron results the bulging out of an unpaired adenosine, on the BPS, which initiates a nucleophilic attack at the intronic 5' splice site, thus starting the first of two transesterification reactions that mediate splicing. NCBI's taxonomy places the organism in Eukaryota, Metazoa, Chordata, Mammalia, Rodentia, Bathyergidae. The record is from Ensembl.